AGAUGGAUGGCACCUGCAAUGUCCAUCAAAAAUAAUGGACCCAUUACCAUUCACCUUAAUGGGAGGCUAUGAUCUAGUUAUUACCAUAACCAGCUCAUUUUAUGAACCUAAUAAUUUAAAAAAUUUGAUUAACAUAAUUUAACAGAAUUAAAUACACAGAUCAGCUAAUCUCAAUCCUCUCACUAACUUCAUCAAGUCAGAUCAGGAUGGGCUAGAAACAAGCUGGUCUAACUGACAAGUCAUCAAUCCUCCCACUAACUUCACCAACUCAU
Molecule: long non-coding RNA, 272 nt
Filed under: Elaeis guineensis (African oil palm)
Lineage: Eukaryota; Viridiplantae; Streptophyta; Magnoliopsida; Arecales; Arecaceae
Description: long non-coding RNA (EGUI_LNC054884)
Source: RNAcentral